UACGUAGGGCGCAAGCGUUAUCCGGAAUUAUUGGGCGUAAAGAGCUCGUAGGCGGUUUGUCGCGUCUGCCGUGAAAGUCCGGGGCUCAACUCCGGAUCUGCGGUGGGUACGGGCAGACUAGAGUGAUGUAGGGGAGACUGGAAUUCCUGGUGUAGCGGUGAAAUGCGCAGAUAUCAGGAGGAACACCGAUGGCGAAGGCGACACGCUGGGCCAUACCUGACACUGAUGCGCGACAGCAUGGGGAGCAAACAGG
RNAcentral lists this ribosomal RNA (253 nucleotides) under uncultured bacterium. RNAcentral describes it as "partial 16S ribosomal RNA". It matches the Rfam family "Bacterial small subunit ribosomal RNA", at positions 524 to 776 of the family's 1533-position model. The record is from RNAcentral.